Molecule: RNA transcript, 2889 nt
Organism: Elaeis guineensis (African oil palm)
Lineage: Eukaryota; Viridiplantae; Streptophyta; Magnoliopsida; Arecales; Arecaceae
Gene name: F-box/kelch-repeat protein At1g55270
Source: RefSeq, a predicted model, not a curated record
ACCAAUUAUCAUUUAUGAAUAAAUUAAUAAGAUAAAUUGAGAUGGUAGAGCGGAGUGGAAGGGCAGAUUCCGGGGACACUGUUUGGGUGGUGGUGGAAGGGAGGACUUUUGCUGCUUGCCUUCCUCCCGGGUGCGGAAAAUUUACUCCCAAUUUUUGGAAUAUUAUUAUUAUUAUUAUUAUUUUUAUUAUUUUUCUCGGCAUAAAAUAAAAUAAAAUAAAAUAAAGAUUUAGGGCAAUUGAAGUUGGUGGUUAAAUGGAAUGGCCGUCCAGCUGUAAAUUUUAGUUCGGAAAGCGCAAGUAGGAGAGGGAGAGGGAGAGGGAGAGAGAGAGAGGAGGGGUGAUGCGUCUGCUCUCUGGUAUUGAACGCAGUGGAGGAGGAGGUCGGUUUCUGGUUGCAGUUUUGGGAAGAAGCAGUGCCGUCUGUCCAACAUUUCUGCCCUUGGAUUUUUCGGUCUCUUUUUCGGCCCCUCUUUCCUGAUCCACUCGCUUAGUGGGCUUUGCGGGAGGAUGGAGGCCGCCGCCGCCGCCGCCGAAGCUUCACCGAGCGCUCACAGAAGCGUCCGCCUGCAGGCCCCGCUGGUUGAUUCUGUGUCAUGUUAUUGUCGAGUAGAUGCAGGCUUGAAAACUGUUGUAGGAGCUAGAAAAUUUGUUCCUGGAGCGAAGCUAUGUCUCCAACCUGAUAUCAAACCUAAUGGGCCCAGGAUGAGGAAUUCACGCAGGGAACGUUGCAGAAACCAGGCACCACUCUUGCCUGGCCUUCCUGAUGAUCUUGCCAUUGCUUGUCUGAUCCGUGUUCCUCGAGCUGAGCACCCAAACCUUCGAUUAGUUUGUAAAAGAUGGAACCGCCUUUUGUCUGGAAACUACUUUUAUUCCCUCAGGAAGAAGCUUGGGAUGGUGGAGGAAUGGGUUUAUGUCAUUAAGAGAGACCGUGAUGGGAAAAUAUCUUGGCACGCUUUUGAUCCCAUCUAUCAGCUAUGGAAACCACUUCCACCUGUUCCUGCAGAGUAUUCUGAAGCACUUGGCUUUGGUUGUGCUGUUCUUAGCGGCUGCUACCUUUACUUAUUUGGAGGUAAGGAUCCAUUAAGGGGCUCUAUGAGGCGUGUUGUCUUCUAUAAUGCCCGAACAAACAAAUGGAAUCGAGCUCCAGAUAUGCUACGAAAACGCCAUUUUUUUGGUUCCUGUGUCAUAAAUAAUUGCCUCUAUGUUGCUGGUGGAGAAUGUGAGGGGAUCCACAGAAACUUGCGUUCAGCUGAGGUAUACGAUCCUAACAGGAACAGAUGGACCUUUAUUGGUGAAAUGAACACUGGAAUGGUACCACUUAUUGGGGUGGUUUUUGAUGGAAAGUGGUUCCUGAAAGGGCUUGAUUCUCACCGUCAGGUUGUGAGUGAAGUAUAUGUACCCACAACAAAUGCGUGGUCCCCAGUUAAUGAUGGAAUGGUUACAGGAUGGCGAAACCCAAGCAUUUCAUUCAAUGGGAGGCUUUAUGCCUCGGAUUGUAGGGAUGGAUGCAAGCUUAGAGUCUAUGAUAGAGCUACAGAUUCAUGGAACAAGUUCAUGGAUAGCAAAAAUCAUCUAGGCAACUCUCGUGCCUUUGAGGCUGCGGCUUUUGUAUCUCUCAAUGGUAAGCUCUGCAUCAUCCACAACAACAUGAGCAUCACUGUCUUUGAUGUAUCAAAUCCAGGAAAGAACAUAGAGACUAUCAGUGCUCAUUUGUGGGAGACUGUUGCUGGGAAAGGCCAUUUAAAGACUUUUGUGGCAAAUUUAUGGUCAAGCAUUGCAGGUCGUAGUGGGUUGAAGAGUCACAUUGUUCACUGUCAAGUGCUUCAACUCUGAGGCUUGAAGCAUUCUGAUAAUGGAAGAUAGACUGACAGAUGAUGGAUGGUUCCUUGAUGAAGCACUAUAGUAUUAUCUACUGCUUAUACCAUCUUCAUGUUUGAGUAGUCAAAUUUCAAUCCAAGGAACUAUUUAUUUGCUGACCAAUAUAUGUCGAUUCCUACAUGUUAGGUUGUUUUUCUUUUAGGGACUGUUUGGAUAAUCCAGCAUGAUUGGACUGAAUUUCUUGCUGGAUUCAUGGAUUGGGCAGCUCAUUUGGGCAUGACAUGUAUCAACCCAAACACAUCCGUACCUCGAAUCUUGUGGGAGGAAAGAAAAGAUCUUUGUAGGUCCUUUUUUUCUCUCUGCAGUGAUGGGCUGGGGAGAUCCGGUUAUGUGGCUUGGGCUGGGUCUGCUAUCCUCUAAUAGUAGAAAUCCUGUUUAUGAUCUCGUGGAUCCAGCGGGAUUAUCCAAACAGAUCCAAACAGAUCUUAGGGUGUUUAAAGAUAACAACCCUUUCUGGUGGGUAUAUGUAUGAAGCUUCCAGAGAAAAAGGAACCUUUCUGCUCGGGCUCUUCUAGCAGUUUGCUCCGAACAGGGUUAUGAAGCAGAGAGGUGAAAUGGUCUGGAAACAUUCAUCUUGUUCUUGUGGCAGCUUGCAGGCUUGAUUGUUUACCAGGGAUGCAAAAUCAUUACAAUUUUGAAGGGCAGCUGUUUGAAAUCAAACCCUCACCACAACACUCCCAACCCAAGAAAAGGAAAACUGGAGUAAUUUGCAUGCAACUGCUUAUUAUCCUCAAGACCUCAACCAUUGUCCUUGAUGUAGGACAGCCUGGGAGAUGGAGAAUAGGAAGCUUUGAUACCAAACAAAUGUAGGAUAGAAAAAGGAGGGGAGAGGAGAAAAGCAAGCAGAGGGAAGAGAAGAAGAUAGAGAAGAUGAAAGCAGAGGGAGAGGGCAAUUCAGUAUUCUCAUAUUAUAAUGAUGCAAACUUGUAUUUUCAAUUAUAUUGCAAUGAGUUUAUAUAGGUUCAAAUUUUCAAUAAGAGUCCGUACAGAAAUAAAAUAUUAUAGUCUUU